This is a long non-coding RNA of Panicum hallii, 1790 nucleotides long. RefSeq lists it as uncharacterized. The record is from RefSeq and is a predicted model, not a curated record. The transcript has 2 exons. Lineage: Eukaryota; Viridiplantae; Streptophyta; Magnoliopsida; Poales; Poaceae.
AUAAAAUUCAAUUGACCUCUUAGACUAUCAACACAGUACAAUUUACCUUUUAGCCUUCGCUGGCGUGGUCCUACGUAAGACUGCUGAUAUGGCGCCACAUCGGCAAAACCGCCUUUUGAAACCAACGAGGUGGGUAAAUUGGAUGAUUUGGAUAGUUAGGGGUGUUAAAUAUCUAUUUUUUAGUUGAGAGGUGUAAAUCAGAUUGUGUUGAUAGUUGAGGGGCUGAAAGGACUUUUUCCUUCCCCAAAGGUCAAAAUGUGAGCUAUACUAAACUAUAGUACCGUGUGUUGUCACCGUAGUGCUCGUUUUGGCAAACAAGCCCUAAUUUAUUAUCUUUUAAAAAAACAUCCAUAUACCCCUCGAUGAACCCCACCUGACGGUUCCAAACUGGUACAAAGUUUGCCUCUUCUUUUCUCACCCGAAAUUUUCCCUACCCGUCGGCGUACCCACCUCCAAUCCCGCCCGCCAAUCACGCGGCCGGGACGGCGGCAUGCGGUUCGCGACUUAGGAGUCGGCGAGCGGCGUCAUCUCCCUGCUCGAGGAGGUGGCCGGAUGCGUGUGACCAAGAGCGGCGCCCGCGGCGUCCGUUUCGAGGGCGCGGAGCGCGGGGGCCCCAAGGGCCUCCUCGCCGUGGCCGCUGACAUCUUCAGCGUGGCGCCGUCCCUGCUCGUGGUCGACGACAAGAAGGACGGCGGCGACACCCUCGAGUACCGGUCCUUCUGCAGCGACGAGCUCCGGCCGGCGCUCAAGGACAUCAUCUGGGCCGCCGACCCGGCACCCGCCGCCGUCGUGUGACGCCGCGCCGCCGCGCAUUGCUCUGUAUCCUAGUGCCAUUUGUUUAGGCAGCCCUGGCGGCUCCCAUCGCUACAUGCCACCUCUGAGCUCGGAGUCGUGCAACCCGUCGGCCAAUUGCUACGUGAGUCCCGUCACUCGUGCUCUUGCCUCUUGCUACCCCGAGGUUCUGGAUGUUUUGUGCUCGCACGUAGGGUGUUCGAUGAUUUGCCUUGCUGAGCUGACUGGUUCUCCUCUCAUAUCUUUCAUGUCAUUAUGAGUGCCUUGAUCUAGCGGCAUAACGAAGCAAUAUGUUGGGGAUGUCAGUGAGGCGGCCUAGAGCAUAGUAAACUGCCCCACUAGGGAGCUAACUGAGCAGAUAAGGACGAGGUUCAGAAAAUAGAUGGUGCGGGCGGAGACAGAGAUGCUGCUCUUGGAGUCCAGGGAUGAGGCGGGGGUCUAUUGCCACGGAGGGAACCAAUUUUGAUGGAGAUUUCAGGACCAGCAUCCAAGGGAGUCCUGAGAGCUUGCUCCAGUUCUGCUUGGAGAGCGGUGAGUCUUGUCUACUGCAACCUAUACUAAAUGUGAAUGUUGAUGUACUCCAUCAAAUAGAUGUGCAAUGUUUGGCAUUUUAGCUGGAAUUUGUGAGAGAGGAAAUUGUUACUGUUCACUCUUUGUAGCUGAUCCUGAGGUCCAGACUGUGGAAGUAGUUGAUGCAGUGUUCAUCAACACAGGGGGUAACCCUUUCAAGAUUCUGAAGGAAUCUAUCAAUAUCAUACUCUUGAAUCUUGACGUAACCACAAUAUUUUUGAGCAUCAGUAAAGCAUGCAAUCCUCGAGGUAUGUUGUCGCGUGAAAAUGGUGGGGACUAUGUUGGAUGUUGUUCGAUUGUAUGGAGAGGUAGUAUUUUUCCACAAAUACGUCAGGUUAGAAGGUAGGGGGACAUCGAUUUUAAUUUUGUACAUGAACAUACUUGUACCGUUCACAGGGAUUGUAUUGUUGAAAGCUUUUAACCACUUA